Molecule: ribosomal RNA, 253 nt
Filed under: uncultured bacterium
Lineage: Bacteria
Description: partial 16S ribosomal RNA
Rfam family: Bacterial small subunit ribosomal RNA
Source: RNAcentral
UACGUAGGCAGCAAGCGUUGUUCGGAAUUACUGGGCGUAAAGCGUGUGUAGGCGGUGCUCUAAGUCUGGUGUGAAAUCUCCCGGCUCAACUGGGAGGGUGCGCCGGAUACUGGAGUGCUUGAGGGUGGGAGAGGUAAGCGGAAUUCCUGGUGUAGCGGUGAAAUGCGUAGAUAUCAGGAGGAACACCGGUGGUGUAGACAGCUUACUGGACCGCUUCUGACGCUGAGGCACGAAAGCGUGGGUAGCAAACAGG